Molecule: ribosomal RNA, 715 nt
Filed under: uncultured archaeon
Lineage: Archaea
Description: bacterial SSU rRNA
Rfam family: Archaeal small subunit ribosomal RNA
Source: RNAcentral
GGACAACCUGCCCUCGGGUGGGGGAUAACCCCGGGAAACUGGGGCUAAUCCCCCAUAGGGGAUGGGUACUGGAAUGUCCCAUCUCCGAAAGCGCUUAGCGCCCGAGGAUGGGUCUGCGGCGGAUUAGGUUGUUGGUGGGGUAACGGCCCACCAAGCCGAAGAUCCGUACGGGCCAUGAGAGUGGGAGCCCGGAGAUGGACCCUGAGACACGGGUCCAGGCCCUACGGGGCGCAGCAGGCGCGAAACCUCCGCAAUGCGGGAAACCGCGACGGGGUCAGCCGGAGUGCUCGCGCAUCGCGCGGGCUGUCGGGGUGCCUAAAAAGCACCCCAUAGCAAGGGCCGGGCAAGGCCGGUGGCAGCCGCCGCGGUAAUACCGGCGGCCCGAGUGGCGGCCACUUUUAUUGGGCCUAAAGCGUCCGUAGCCGGGCUGGUAAGUCCUCCGGGAAAUCUGGUCGCUUAACGAUCAGACUGCCGGAGGAUACUGCCAGCCUAGGGACCGGGAGAGGCCGGGGGUAUUCCCGGGGUAGGGGUGAAAUCCUGUAAUCCCGGGAGGACCACCUGUGGCGAAGGCGCCCGGCUGGAACGGGUCCGAUGGUGAGGGACGAAGGCCAGGGGAGCGAACCGGAUUAGAUACCCGGGUAGUCCUGGCUGUAAACGAUGCGGACUAGGUGUCACCGAAGCUACGAGCUUCGGUGGUGCCGGAGGGAAGCCGUUA